UUCUUGCUCACUUAUUGAAUUUUCCAGAGCAUGUCAUUCCCUUAUUUUCGUCUGAAUGGAGUCCCCUCGGGAAAGGGCUCAUAGCAGCAAACUUCUAUGAAGGAUCCACGUAGAAAACUUACCUUACCCUAAAACAUAGGCCUCGGAUGGCAUAUUUUGAUGACUUGGAUGCUGUGUGAGUUAUCACAAGUUAAAGAUGUAACCUUAACAUAAAAUCGUGCAGCUAACCCGCGGAUUCCCCAACAAUAGAUCUGAUAGAAUUUAUGGCCUGUUUAGUUCGUUCAGCAGCAUGAAAGAACGAAGAGUUUGAAUCCCCGAGCCGUGGAAAUAGCGGUGUAUCUGU
RNAcentral lists this unclassified non-coding RNA (343 nucleotides) under Hevea brasiliensis (rubber tree). Lineage: Eukaryota; Viridiplantae; Streptophyta; Magnoliopsida; Malpighiales; Euphorbiaceae. The record is from RNAcentral.